This 301-nucleotide ribosomal RNA is filed under the name uncultured bacterium. RNAcentral's name for it is "partial 16S ribosomal RNA". It matches the Rfam family "Bacterial small subunit ribosomal RNA", at positions 509 to 807 of the family's 1533-position model. The record is from RNAcentral.
CAGUAGCCACGGGAACACGUAGGGCGCAAGCGUUGUCCGGAAUUAUUGGGCGUAAAGAGCUCGUAGGCGGUCUGUCGCGUCUGGUGUGAAAUCCCGAGGCUCAACCUCGGGCUUGCAUCGGGUACGGGCAGACUAGAGUGCGGUAGGGGAGACUGGAAUUCCUGGUGUAGCGGUGGAAUGCGCAGAUAUCAGGAGGAACACCGAUGGCGAAGGCAGGUCUCUGGGCCGCAACUGACGCUGAGGAGCGAAAGCAUGGGGAGCGAACAGGAUUAGAUACCCGUGUAGUCCCUGUCUCUUAUAC